This 439-nucleotide ribosomal RNA is filed under the name Enterobacter hormaechei. Its description in RNAcentral is "partial 23S ribosomal RNA". It matches the Rfam family "Bacterial large subunit ribosomal RNA", at positions 1 to 434 of the family's 2925-position model. Lineage: Bacteria; Pseudomonadati; Pseudomonadota; Gammaproteobacteria; Enterobacterales; Enterobacteriaceae. The record is from RNAcentral.
UACUUUUAAAUAAAGAAGAGUUUGUAGUGGAUGCCUUGGGUCUGGAAGUCGAAGAAGGACGUGAUUACCUGCGAUAAGCCUCGUUUAGUUGGAUAUAAACUUUGAGACGGGGAUUUCCGAAUGGGGAAACCUAACUAGAUUAAUCUCUAGUUGCCCACUUUUGAAUAUAUAGAAAGUGUGAGCGAGACACCUUGUGAAUUGAAACAUCUUAGUAGCAAGAGGAAAAGAAAAUAAAUAAUGAUUCUGUUAGUAGUGGCGAGCGAAAGCAGAAGAGCCCAAACCGUAUUUAUACGGGGUUGUAGGACAGUCUACAUAGAGUUACAAAGAUUAUGUAUAGUAGAAAAAGCUGGGAAGCUUUGACAUAGAGGGUGAUAUCCCCGUAUACGAAAUGCAUAAUUCUCUUGACUGCAUCCUGAGUAGGGCGGGGCACGUGAAACCC